This 253-nucleotide ribosomal RNA is filed under the name uncultured bacterium. RNAcentral describes it as "partial 16S ribosomal RNA". It matches the Rfam family "Bacterial small subunit ribosomal RNA", at positions 524 to 776 of the family's 1533-position model. The record is from RNAcentral.
UACGUAGGGGGCAAGCGUUGUCCGGAAUUACUGGGCGUAAAGGGCCAGUAGGCGGCCAACUAAGUCGGAUGUGAAAUCCCCAGGCUCAACUUGGGAACUGCAUCCGAUACUGGAUGGCUUGAAUUCGGGAGAGGGAUGCAGAAUUCCAGGUGUAGCGGUGAAAUGCGUAGAUAUCUGGAGGAACACCGGUGGCGAAGGCGGCGUUCUGGACUGCUACUGACACUGAGGAACGAAAGCCAGGGGAGCAAACGGG